CCUCUCGACUCCGCCGCCGGCGCCGCUGCCCCGCGCAGGCCCGUCGCCGCCCACCCUCGCUGCUGCCCCGCGCCCACCCACCCUCGCUGCUGCCUCGCGCCCGCCCACCCUUGUCGCUGCAUCGCACCGCUGCCGCCUCGGCGCUUUCCUCCUCCGCGCAGUCGCCACUCUGCCUGCCGCCUCGGCGCUUUCCCACGGCUCAAAAACCCUAGCCGUCGUUCUGCCUGCGACGGCCGUUUUCGCCGCUCAGCCUGCAGUCGCGCUAGGCGCUGUGCCCAGCUAAAUCUUCUAUGCUCAAGCCCCUGCCUCUCUCAAUCUCUCUCGCCUCCGGCCUUUCUCUGUCAUCCGACGGUCCAUGUUGCCCCUGCUUCCUCUGUACGUCGACUAUGGCGCCCACUGCUGCAAGCACCCGGCGAUUGUGCCUCCGUCGACCGACCUUCCACCUCUUUCGGCCUCUGUCUCAAUUGGGUGACUCCGCAGCAGAAGCAAUUGACAACAGCAGAUGAAGCCUCAGGACACGGUGGCAGGAGGUGAGGAAGAGUACAAUGCAUUUUUCUACUCUCUCGUAUCUACAGACACUCAGGAAUGUAUUAUUCAACAAAAAGGCAGCAGUUUUUGAUCGAUCAAGGUUAUAGUUUUAAGGUGCUGAUCUUGUUGGAAAGGUUGAAAGAAACAUCCCUGAAGAUGACCCCAGAAAUCCGGUUGUAAGAUAUCUGCUAUGCUUUUUGGUUGAUAUAUCUGUUUUGAAGUUAAUUCUAGUCACAUUUUGCAGGUCAUUGCUGACAAUGUUGGUGAUAAUGUCGGAGAUAUUGCUGGAAUGGGAUCUGAUCUUUUUGGUUCAUAUGCCGAAUCCUCUUGUGCUGCUCUUGUUAUCGUACUAACUUAUUUUGAUCUACCAUCCCAUAACAACUAUUUCUGCUUACUGAUUUCAGUUUUGGCAUUACUUUGGCAGCGUUGCAACUCUAAUAAGAUAAAGUUCAGUGCAGUUUUAGCAGCAGCCGGAUUAAUUGCUUGUCAUGCCUCAAAAAGGUUCCCUGAUGAACAGUGGGAAAAGUAUGCAGUUGUAACUCUCAUGGAUUGCCGGUCUGCUCUUGAUCCCGUGCUUAGCAGCCAUCAUAUCUUGCGUUUUCAAAGUCCACUGUUUUGAAGAUUUUUGAGCUAUUCUGAUGAGAUACCAUUUAAAGUUGGUGCUCCUGGUGCUUUCUCAGACCCAACAUCAGGUGACAAGAUGGCGCUAGAUCAAUUCAUCUCAUUGUGGAUUCAAGAAGAUACAAGUGCUCUAUCUAGCAUGCCUUUGAGUAAGAUACAAGAAGAAUUUGUGAAUCAUUUGCAUACUUGAUAUUAAUGUUCAAGUUCCCAGGCCAAUCAUUAGCUAUAAGGUAGUUGGUAUUUUCAAUUUUGAAUCGGAAUAUGCAAUGAUGAUGUAUACUUGAUAUUUGGUUCAUUUGUAUAAUAAUGUAUGAAUUUUUUGGAUGAUAUAUAAUAUUGUUAUCGUUGAUUUUA
This is an RNA transcript of Salvia miltiorrhiza (redroot sage), 1503 nucleotides long. It is a transcript of the gene named pyrophosphate-energized vacuolar membrane proton pump-like, with no coding region annotated. The transcript is spliced from 6 exons. Lineage: Eukaryota; Viridiplantae; Streptophyta; Magnoliopsida; Lamiales; Lamiaceae. The record is from RefSeq and is a predicted model, not a curated record.